RNAcentral lists this ribosomal RNA (443 nucleotides) under uncultured bacterium. RNAcentral describes it as "partial 16S ribosomal RNA". It matches the Rfam family "Bacterial small subunit ribosomal RNA", at positions 338 to 795 of the family's 1533-position model. The record is from RNAcentral.
CCUACGGGUGGCAGCAGUGGGGAAUAUUGGGCAAUGGCCGCAAGCCUGACCCAGCAACGCCGCGUGAAGGAAGAAGGCGUUCGGGUUCUAAACUUCUUUUCUCAGGGACGAAGCAAGUGACGGUACCUGAGGAAUAAGCCACGGCUAACUACGUGCCAGCAGCCGCGGUAAUCCGUAGGUGGCAAGCGUUAUCCGGAUUUACUGGGUGUAAAGGGCGUGUAGGCGGGACUGCAAGUCAGAUGUGAAAACCACGGGCCCAACCUAUGGCCUGCAUUUGAAACUGUAGUUCUUGAGUACUGGGGAGGCAGACGGAAUGCGUAGUGUAGCGGUGAAAUGCGUAGAUAUUAGGAGGAACACCAGUGGCGAAGGCGGUCUGCUGGACAGCAACUGACGCUGAGGCGCGAAAGCGCGGGGAGCAAACAGGAUUAGAUACCCUAGUAGUC